CCAUUUGGUUUUUUUCUCUUGUAGUUUAAUGAGAACCCCAAACCAAAUUCAUUUUGUUUCUCGUCCCUCCUUCACCGUAAAAAUCCCAAAACCCCAAAAACCUCAAUACUGGAAAAAAACCCAAGCCCCUUUUCUCUCUCGGUGCCCUGCUUUCCCCUCAAACUCUCACUCCAAUCCCCUGUUGUUACCCCUGCAUCUCGUCGGAGCUCUGCGCAUGGCCGCCGGUCUGGUCCUCCCCUUCUCCGUAUUUGUUCAUUGUUGGGCUGCCAUGGCGAGAUGCUAGUCUACUUUCUUCUUCUUCGUCCUCCUCGUGCCUGCCAUGUUCGUCGAUGUUCGUCGGUCUGCUGUUGUUCACCGGUGGACGACAGUUGUCGGGCUGCUGUUGUUCGUGGCCGGUGGUGUUGCCCCUGUUCGUGUUGGUUUUGUUGUUGUUGACUUCUCUCUCCCCUCUGUCCUGCGACCACCGCUGCUGGUGUCGUUGUUGUGGUUGUUUUGUUGUGGUUAGUCUCUAAUGUUGUGUUUUGUUGAUGCUGCUUUGUGCGUGGAGCUGUCGAUGCUUAGUCGUUCGUCGGUGCUCCACCGUUGUGUACCAAAGCCUCGAAACCCCUUAUGUCCCUUGUUCUUUGCUGCUCCGAGUAGAUUAUGAUUAGGAGUUUAAUUAUGGAGUAUAGUUUAAUUGAGAGGAGUUAUGGCGGUGGUUGUUGUGGUGGUUGCUGUUGGUUGUGCUGCUGUAUUGUUGUUGUUGUUGUUGUUGUUGUUGUUGUUCUGUUAUGGUGCUUAAUGUUGUGUUGUUGGUGUUGAUGGUAUUACUAUUGUUGUGGUGGUGUUGUUAUUGCUCUUAGCUCUUGUGGUGUGUCAUUGUUGAAGAAACAACCAAAGUCAGGUUGCAAUUUCUUAAUGGAGAAAUGUAUAGUAAAAUUAGUUUCAAGUUUGUUUAGUUAAGUUUGUUAGUUUAAGUUGAUUGAUCUAGUUCUAUAAUUUAGAUUUAUGUUUCUAAGAGGUAGAAUCGGUUUAAAGAAUUUAAGAUUUAGAGUUUGGAAUUAUGGUUGUAAAGGAUUUCAAUUGGGAAUUAGUUGUGAUUAUGAUUUCUAGUUUAGAUUAGUCUAAGUUUGAUUAUUGAUUAUCGUUAUUAUUGUGAGGUGAUUCUUGGAGGAGGAUUUCGGAGUGGAAUAUCAUUCAGAGCUAUGAAGGAGAUUGUGUUGUUGGAAUGGGAUUGCGAUUCAGGUUGGAUAUUAAUUAAUUCGGAAUUUGAAGUGGAGCACGAUAGAGAUGUCUUGUGAAUUAAGGAUUGAGUUUGUAUUUUUAGAUAGUUGAUUCAUCAGGAAUAAAUUAUAUUUCAUUGUAUAUAAUUUUGGGAAUUUAGUCGAGUUAUUGGUGUACUUAAGGAUAUUUUUCCGCUGCGAAGUAAUUUAUUAGAGAGUUAAUCUUGGUUUAUGGAUGUUGAGUGGAGCUAUUGAUAUAAUUAAGGUUGUUUUUCCGCUGCGAUUUUAUUUAAUUAAGAGCUAAUUCUAGUUUUUGGAUGUCGAGUAUAUUCCACUAGCAUCUCAGAAGAGCGGGCUGUUACAGUAGUGACUAAAUAACUCAGGUACGGUCGAUCAAAUCAUACUCGCGUCCAGUCAUUUUGUAUCUAUAUAUAUAUAUAUAAAACAAGGUUCAUUUUGCUUA
Long non-coding RNA from Beta vulgaris subsp. vulgaris (sugar beet), 1665 nucleotides. RefSeq lists it as uncharacterized. The transcript is spliced from 2 exons. NCBI's taxonomy places the organism in Eukaryota, Viridiplantae, Streptophyta, Magnoliopsida, Caryophyllales, Amaranthaceae. The record is from RefSeq and is a predicted model, not a curated record.